UACGAAGGGGGCUAGCGUUGCUCGGAAUUACUGGGCGUAAAGCGCACGUAGGCGGCUUCUUAAGUCGGUGGUGAAAUCCUGGAGCUCAACUCCAGAACUGCCUUCGAUACUGGGAAGCUCGAGUCCGGGAGAGGUGAGUGGAACUGCGAGUGUAGAGGUGAAAUUCGUAGAUAUUCGCAAGAACACCAGUGGCGAAGGCGGCUCACUGGUCCGGAACUGAUGCUGAGGAGCGAAAGCGUGGGGAGCGAACAGG
This 253-nucleotide ribosomal RNA is filed under the name uncultured bacterium. RNAcentral's name for it is "partial 16S ribosomal RNA". It matches the Rfam family "Bacterial small subunit ribosomal RNA", at positions 524 to 776 of the family's 1533-position model. The record is from RNAcentral.